AUUGAACGCUGGCGGCAGGCCUAACACAUGCAAGUCGAGCGGAUGAACGGUGCUUGCUCCUGGAUUCCGCGGCGGACGGGUGAGUAAUGCCCAUGAAUCUGCCUGGCAUUGGGGUAUGACGUCCGGAAGCGGGCGCUAAUACCGCAUACGUCCUGAUGGUGAACGUGGGGGAUCUUCGGACCUCACGCUAUCAGCUGAGACUACGUCGGAUUAGCUAGCUGGUGGGGUAAAUGCCUACCAAGGCGACGAUGCGUAACUGGUCUGAGAGGAUGAUCAGUCACACUGGAACUGAGACACGGUCCAGACUCCUACGGGAGGCAGCAGUGGGGAAUAUUGGGCAAUGGGCGAAAGCCUGACCCAGCCAUGCCGCGUGUGUGACGAAGGUCUUCGGAUUGUAAAGCACUUUAAGUUGGGAGGAACGGCAGUAAGUUAAUACCUUGCUGUUUUGACGUUACCAAGAGAGUAAGCACCGGCUAACUACGUG
RNAcentral lists this ribosomal RNA (484 nucleotides) under uncultured bacterium. RNAcentral describes it as "partial 16S ribosomal RNA". It matches the Rfam family "Bacterial small subunit ribosomal RNA", at positions 30 to 507 of the family's 1533-position model. The record is from RNAcentral.